Molecule: ribosomal RNA, 794 nt
Filed under: uncultured Methanomicrobiaceae archaeon
Lineage: Archaea; Methanobacteriati; Methanobacteriota; Methanomicrobia; Methanomicrobiales; Methanomicrobiaceae
Description: SSU rRNA
Rfam family: Archaeal small subunit ribosomal RNA
Source: RNAcentral
ACGGCUCAGUAACACGUGGAUAACCUGCCCAAGAGUCCGGGAUAACCCCGGGAAACUGGGGAUAAUACCGGAUAGGUCACCUAUGCUGGAAUGGCUUGGUGGUUUAAACCUCCGGGGCUUUUGGAUGGGUCUGCGGCUGAUUAGGUUGAUGCCGGUGUAACGUACCGGCAUGCCUGUAAUCAGUACGGGUUGUGGGAGCAAGAGCCCGGAGAUGGAUUCUGAGACACGAAUCCAGGCCCUACGGGGCGCAGCAGGCGCGAAAACUUUACAAUGCAGGCAACUGCGAUAAGGGGACAUCGAGUGGCACGCAUAAUGUGUGUCUGUCCACCCGUCUAAAAAACGGGUGUUAGCAAGGGCCGGGCAAGACCGGUGCCAGCCGCCGCGGUAAUACCGGCGGCUCGAGUGGUGGCCACUAUUACUGGGCUUAAAGCGUUCGUAGCUGGGUCGUUAAGUCUCUUGGGAAAUCUACCGGCUUAACCGAUAGGCGUCCAAGGGAUACUGGCGAUCUAGGGACCGGGAGAGGUGAGGGGUACUUCAGGGGUAGGAGUGAAAUCCUGUAAUCCUUGGGGGACCACCUGUGGCGUAGGCGCCUCACCAGAACGGCUCCGACAGUGAGGGACGAAAGCUGGGGGAGCAAACCGGAUUAGAUACCCGGGUAGUCCCAGCCGUAAACGAUGCGCGUUAGGUGUAUCGAUGACCACGAGUCAUCGAGGUGCCGAAGGGAAACCGUGAAACGCGCCGCCUGGGAAGUACGGUCGCAAGGCUGAAACUUAAAGGAAUUGGCGGGGGAGCAC